AAUAAUUAGUGGGUUUAAAAGGUGAAGAGAUGGUGCGAAUCUGAUUCGAAAUAAAGUUUGGAGUAUCAGCCCAUUUCAUUAUGUGUGUGUUGAUUUCUAGGUAUGCUGUCAUUGAUUUCGGCAAACUCGAAUACGGCUCGAGAACCGCCGACAAGAAGCUGCGGAAAAUGGAGAAAUUAGUCUCCGCCACCUCGUCUUUGCACGCAGCAUUGG
RNAcentral lists this long non-coding RNA (213 nucleotides) under Erythranthe guttata (spotted monkey flower). Its description in RNAcentral is "long non-coding RNA (EGUT_LNC003010)". Lineage: Eukaryota; Viridiplantae; Streptophyta; Magnoliopsida; Lamiales; Phrymaceae. The record is from RNAcentral.